UACGGAGGAUCCGAGCGUUAUCCGGAUUUAUUGGGUUUAAAGGGUGCGCAGGCGGGAGAUUAAGUCGGCGGUGAAAUUUUGUAGCUCAACUGUAAAAGUGCCUUCGAAACUGGUUUCCUUGAGUGUAGAUGAAGUAGGCGGAAUUUGUGGUGUAGCGGUGAAAUGCAUAGAUAUCACGAGGAACUCCGAUUGCGCAGGCAGCUUACUAAACUACUACUGACGCUCAGGCACGAAGGCGUGGGGAUCAAACAGGAUUAGAUACCCUGGUAGU
This 271-nucleotide ribosomal RNA is filed under the name uncultured prokaryote. RNAcentral describes it as "partial 16S ribosomal RNA". It matches the Rfam family "Bacterial small subunit ribosomal RNA", at positions 524 to 794 of the family's 1533-position model. The record is from RNAcentral.